This 289-nucleotide unclassified non-coding RNA is filed under the name Hevea brasiliensis (rubber tree). Lineage: Eukaryota; Viridiplantae; Streptophyta; Magnoliopsida; Malpighiales; Euphorbiaceae. The record is from RNAcentral.
ACUUUGUCCUUGUUUUUCACCUUACUAUCCAUUUUUGUAGACAUUUUAUGAUUCUCAAACUCCAUAAUUGAACUUUUCUCCAUCUUUACAAUAUUCUCCAAAGUCGACCAAACUUCGCUCGGCUGCUCGUGAACCCAGCACAUGAUGAAAAAGAUCUUCCUGUCAGCGUGUUUAAGCUUAGUACCAAUGUCUGACCAUCUAGAUUUUCUACUCCUAUUUCCUGAUUUCAGAUCUCUCUCACCAGCUUGAAUAAGCCUCUGCAAGUCACAGAGCAAGCACACUAAUGCAG